This 772-nucleotide unclassified non-coding RNA is filed under the name Hevea brasiliensis (rubber tree). The record is from RNAcentral. Lineage: Eukaryota; Viridiplantae; Streptophyta; Magnoliopsida; Malpighiales; Euphorbiaceae.
AUCCUUCAUUGCCUAGAAAAUUCAUCCAAAGACAAAGUUACAGUAACCAAAUUUCAUGGCUUCAAGCAGAACAAACAAAUCAAUUUUCAUUGCAAUCCUAACCAUAAUAAAUUCCAUCAAUCCAGCACAGAUUUAGACAUAUGAAAACACUGGAGCAAACAUGUAUAACUCUUGCCAAUCACAUGAUAUGAAGUUCUUCAUAUCACAUAGACGUUCUAUGGGUAUAGAACAUGAUGAAGGGGACAUGCAGCUACGCGAACAGCCGAGACGCUGUUGGAGCUUUGUCAAUGAGGAGGCUAAAUGGGUUUGUUGUUGGUGAGGAAAAUAUGAGAUUUGAGUAGAAAGUAAGGAGUAGGAUUGAGAUAAGGAUGUGAAAUGGGUAUUGGUUGUUGGGUUUUCAGUUUGGGUGAGGGAGAAGAGGAGAUGAUAGACUUUCGGUGAGGGAAGAUGGCAGAGACAAGGUAAAGAAGGAGAGGACUAAAAGAAAAUUUUGAGUGGCUAGGGCUUUUAGAUGCUGAAAGUGGUGAAUAUAUAUCCUUAACUGAAUGGCUUAGAUCUUUUGAAAUGGACGGUCAAGAUUUAAUCUUAGAGUUAUGUUUAAAAAAAACAAUGAAAGAUGUGAAUGGUGAGUGUUGAACCCGAGACCCUCCAAAGUCAGUAAUUUCCUCUCCACCAUUAAGCCAUAUGUAUGUUUUGUAUCUCAUGGCUUUUAAAAUUAUAGUUAUUUUGGUUCGAUUUGGUUUUACCAAAAAUUUUUUCUCAAAAACUGAAC